GACGAACGCUGGCGGCGUGCUUAACACAUGCAAGUCGAACGAAGACAUCUGAGUGCUUGCACUUGGAUGGACUGAGUGGCGGACGGGUGAGUAACGCGUGGGUAACCUGCCUUAUACAGGGGGAUAACAGUUGGAAACGACUGCUAAUACCGCAUAAGCGCACGGUAUCGCAUGAUACAGUGUGAAAAACUCCGGUGGUAUAAGAUGGACCCGCGUCUGAUUAGCUUGUUGGUGAGGUAACGGCCCACCAAGGCGACGAUCAGUAGCCGGCCUGAGAGGGUGAACGGCCACAUUGGGACUGAGAUACGGCCCAGACUCCUACGGGAGGCAGCAGUGGGGAAUAUUGCACAAUGGGGGAAACCCUGAUGCAGCGACGCCGCGUGGAGGAAGAAGGUCUUCGGAUUGUAAAACUCUAUCAGCAGGGAAGAUAAUGACGGUACCUGACUAAGAAGCACCGGCUAAAUACGUG
This 469-nucleotide ribosomal RNA is filed under the name uncultured bacterium. RNAcentral's name for it is "bacterial SSU rRNA". It matches the Rfam family "Bacterial small subunit ribosomal RNA", at positions 28 to 507 of the family's 1533-position model. The record is from RNAcentral.